This 91-nucleotide ribosomal RNA is filed under the name Echinococcus granulosus. It matches the Rfam family "Eukaryotic small subunit ribosomal RNA", at positions 985 to 1075 of the family's 1831-position model. Lineage: Eukaryota; Metazoa; Platyhelminthes; Cestoda; Cyclophyllidea; Taeniidae. The record is from RNAcentral.
GAAAGUCAGAGGCUCGAAGACGAUCAGAUACCGUCCUAGUUCUGACCAUAAACGAUGCCAACUGACGAUCCGUGGUGGUAGUGAUGUUGCC